Non-coding RNA from Cinara cedri, 449 nucleotides. NCBI's taxonomy places the organism in Eukaryota, Metazoa, Arthropoda, Insecta, Hemiptera, Aphididae. The record is from the annotation of a GenBank genome assembly.
CAUUUAUAUCCGAUUAAUAGUUUUUAAGUAACAGCCGUUUUAAAUUCUACUAAUCUGUGUGAAAACUGAUAUUAUCUAGGGAAUAACCCAACCGCGUUACGCGAUAACAUCGGUUUUCACAUGGGUUAGUAGAAUUUAAAAGGGCUGUUACUUAGAAACUAUUCAUCGAAUAUAAAUGUGUGAUACAUUCAAAUUUUCAAAAAAAUAAAUUCUAAUCCUUAAGAGUAAUAUAAAAAAAAAAACAGAAUUUGAUUAUCUUUAUUAUCUCUGAAGAUAUUUAAGGGGUAUAUCUUCGUGGGACAGCCUGUAUACGACGUGCUGUACGCAGUAUUACCGAUUUCAUUGUUUUUCAUUUUUGCAAAACUAGAAAUAUUUCAAUAUUAUUAAAUAAUAUUUAUUUAAAAAGUGACAAGUGAACUUAUUGUUGCAUUUUUAAUCUAAUUCCUUAC